GAAUGUGAGGGCAAUCCGUCUGUGACAUCUGUCACCUCAUUGAUCACCAGGGCUGAUUCGGCUGAUCUGCUGCCUGGGCAGGUGUCCCCGUCCCCCCCGCACCUCUCCAUGUGCAUGCCUCCCGAAGCUGCAUGCUCAGUCAGAGGACAACCUUCCCUGAUACAGGAGGACCAUUCUUCAAUCCCAGGUGUGUGAGUAGCUGCACUCUCCUGCUAGAAUCUCCAAACAAGCUCUCAAGAAAGGUACUUUUAAAAACACUCCAUCUAUUUAGCUUGGAUGGGGAACUUUCCAUACAUCAGCUCAUUCUGCCAUCUUGAAGAGAAUUUCUGA
RNAcentral lists this small nuclear RNA (330 nucleotides) under Tursiops truncatus (common bottlenose dolphin). RNAcentral's name for it is "7SK RNA (ENSTTRG00000022033.1)". It matches the Rfam family "7SK RNA". Rfam says of the family: 7SK was discovered as an abundant small nuclear RNA in the mid-70s but a possible function has only recently been suggested. The record is from RNAcentral. Lineage: Eukaryota; Metazoa; Chordata; Mammalia; Artiodactyla; Delphinidae.